Molecule: ribosomal RNA, 829 nt
Filed under: Escherichia coli
Lineage: Bacteria; Pseudomonadati; Pseudomonadota; Gammaproteobacteria; Enterobacterales; Enterobacteriaceae
Description: partial 23S ribosomal RNA
Rfam family: Bacterial large subunit ribosomal RNA
Source: RNAcentral
CAUAGGUUAAUGAGGCGAACCGGGGGAACUGAAACAUCUAAGUACCCCGAGGAAAAGAAAUCAACCGAGAUUCCCCCAGUAGCGGCGAGCGAACGGGGAGGAGCCCAGAGCCUGAAUCAGUGUGUGUGUUAGUGGAAGCGUCUGGAAAGGCGCGCGAUACAGGGUGACAGCCCCGUACACAAAAAUGCACAUGCUGUGAGCUCGAUGAGUAGGGCGGGACACGUGGUAUCCUGUCUGAAUAUGGGGGGACCAUCCUCCAAGGCUAAAUACUCCUGACUGACCGAUAGUGAACCAGUACCGUGAGGGAAAGGCGAAAAGAACCCCGGCGAGGGGAGUGAAAAAGAACCUGAAACCGUGUACGUACAAGCAGUGGGAGCCUCUUUAUGGGGUGACUGCGUACCUUUUGUAUAAUGGGUCAGCGACUUAUAUUCUGUAGCAAGGUUAACCGAAUAGGGGAGCCGAAGGGAAACCGAGUCUUAACUGGGCGUUAAGUUGCAGGGUAUAGACCCGAAACCCGGUGAUCUAGCCAUGGGCAGGUUGAAGGUUGGGUAACACUAACUGGAGGACCGAACCGACUAAUGUUGAAAAAUUAGCGGAUGACUUGUGGCUGGGGGUGAAAGGCCAAUCAAACCGGGAGAUAGCUGGUUCUCCCCGAAAGCUAUUUAGGUAGCGCCUCGUGAAUUCAUCUCCGGGGGUAGAGCACUGUUUCGGCAAGGGGGUCAUCCCGACUUACCAACCCGAUGCAAACUGCGAAUACCGGAGAAUGUUAUCACGGGAGACACACGGCGGGUGCUAACGUCCGUCGUGAAGAGGGAAACAACCCAGACCG